RNAcentral lists this ribosomal RNA (464 nucleotides) under Vreelandella stevensii. RNAcentral describes it as "partial 16S ribosomal RNA". It matches the Rfam family "Bacterial small subunit ribosomal RNA", at positions 338 to 795 of the family's 1533-position model. Lineage: Bacteria; Pseudomonadati; Pseudomonadota; Gammaproteobacteria; Oceanospirillales; Halomonadaceae. The record is from RNAcentral.
CCUACGGGGGCAGCAGUGGGGAAUAUUGGACAAUGGGCGAAAGCCUGAUCCAGCCAUGCCGCGUGUGUGAAGAAGGCCUUCGGGUUGUAAAGCACUUUCAGUGGGGAAGAAAGCCUUGGGGCUAAUACCCUCGAGGAAGGACAUCACCCACAGAAGAAGCACCGGCUAACUCCGUGCCAGCAGCCGCGGUAAUACGGAGGGUGCGAGCGUUAAUCGGAAUUACUGGGCGUAAAGCGCGCGUAGGCGGUCUGAUAAGCCGGUUGUGAAAGCCCCGGGCUCAACCUGGGAACGGCAUCCGGAACUGUCAGGCUAGAGUGCAGGAGAGGAAGGUAGAAUUCCCGGUGUAGCGGUGAAAUGCGUAGAGAUCGGGAGGAAUACCAGUGGCGAAGGCGGCCUUCUGGACUGACACUGACGCUGAGGUGCGAAAGCGUGGGUAGCAAACAGGAUUAGAUACCCCAGUCGUC